This 1972-nucleotide ribosomal RNA is filed under the name Canis lupus familiaris (dog). RNAcentral's name for it is "lncRNA (ENSCAFG00040022233.1)". The stretch from base 1 to 1597 matches the Rfam family "Bacterial large subunit ribosomal RNA", at positions 561 to 2925 of the family's 2925-position model. Lineage: Eukaryota; Metazoa; Chordata; Mammalia; Carnivora; Canidae. The record is from RNAcentral.
UAUUAACAGGCUAAUGUGAUAAAUGAGUCUAUACUAAAAUGUUAAAAAUUUUGUCUUGUCUUUCAAACAAAUUGAUAAAAUUUCAAGCUUGAAAGCUUGAACCCAAAGGCUUAGCUAAAAUGGGAAUUUCUAGCCCAAAGGAGCAGGAUGUUCUGAGAUGUUCCUCACAUCACCAUCAUGCCAUGGAGGCAGCCGCUGGGAGGGCCUGUGUGUGAGCUGGCCCCAGUCUGUGCCCAAUAAAAAAUCUAGAAGGAUCAACUCAUCUAUGUAGCAAAAUAGUGAGAAGAUUUAUAGGUAGCGGUGAAAAGCCUAACGAGCCUGGUGAUAGCUGGUUACCCAUAAACAGAAUUUUAGUUCAACUUUAAAUUUACCUAAAAAAUUAAAAUUUUAAUGUAAAUUUAAAAUAUAAUCUAAAGAGGUACAGCUUUUUACAAUAAGGAUACAACCUUCCUUAGAGAGUACAUGUUAAUAUCACCAUAGUUGGCCUAAAAGCAGCCAUCAAUUGAGAAAGCGUUCAAGCUCAACAAACAAUAUGACUUAAUUCCAACCGUAUUCAAUCAACUCCUAAUAUGCCACUGGGUUAUUCUAUUUAAAUAUAGAAGCAAUAAUGCUAAUAUGAGUAACAGGAAUUAUUUCUCCCUGCAUAAGCGUAUAUCAGAAACAGAUAAACCACUGAUAGUUAACAACCUGAUAAAACUAACCCAAAAAUAAAAUACUUAUCAAUUCCAUUGUUAACCCAACACAGGUAUGCACCCAAGGAAAGAUUAAAAGAAGUAAAAGGAACUCGGCAAACAUAAACCCCGCCUGUUUACCAAAAACAUCACCUCCAGCAUCCCCAGUAUUGGAGACACUGCCUGCCCAGUGACAUUUGUUCAACAGCCGCGGUAUCCUGACCAUGCAAAGGUAGCAUAAUCAUUUGUUCUCUAAAUAAGAACUUGUAUGAAUGUACACGAGGGUUUGACUGGCUCUUACUUCCAAUCAGUGAAAUUGACCUUGCCGUGAAGAGGCGGGAAUAACAUAAUAAGAUGAGAAGACCCUAUGGAGCUUUAAUGAAUUAACCCAAAUUCAUGAGUAAUAUAUACCUACUAGGCAUAACAUUUCACCAUUGUUAUGGGUUGACAAUUUAGGUUGGGGUGACCUCGGAAUAUAAAAAAACUUCCAAGUGAUUAAAAUGUAGACUUACCAGUCAAAAUAUAAUAUCAUUUAUUGAUCCAAUAGUCUUUGAUCAACGGAACAAGUUACCCUAGGGAUAACAGCACAAUCCUAUUCAAGAGUUCAUAUCGACAAUAGGGUUUACGACCUCAAUGUUGGAUCAGGACAUCCUAAUGGUGCAGCAGCUAUUAAGGGUUCGUUUGUUCAACGAUUAAAGUCCUACAUGAUCUGAGUUCAGACCGGAGUAAUCCAGGUUGGUUUCUAUCUAUUUAACAAUUUCUCCCAGUACGAAAGGACAAGAGAAAUAAGGCCUACCUUACAAAAGUGUCUUAAAACUAAUAGAUGAAAUUAAGCUCAAUCUAACCAGUUUAUCUCCCCAUAAGCCCAAGAAAGGAGGGCUUUGUUAGGGUGACAGAGCCCGGUAAUUGUGUAAAACUUCAACCUUUAUCCCCAGAGGUUCGACUCCUCUCCCUAACAUCAUGUUCUUUAUCAAUAUUAUCUCAGUAAUUGUUCCAAUUCUCCUCGCCGUAGCCUUUCUUACUCUUGUUGAAUGAAAAGUCCUAGGCUAUAUACAACUCCGAAAAGGCCCCAAUAUUAGGAAACAAACUGAGGGUUGCUGGAGGGGAGGUAGGUGGGGGGAAAGGAUAAUUGAGUGAUGGGCAUUAAGGAAGGCACUGGAUAUAAUGAGUACUGAGUGUUAUAUGCAAUUGAUGAAUCACUAAAUUCUACCUCUGAAACUUAAAAUAAAAAUAAAAUUUUAAAAAUAGUCCACAUUCUGUGGCAUUUAAAAAACAAAAUAAAAAUUCUACAAAUUUUUUUU